Molecule: long non-coding RNA, 287 nt
Filed under: Nicotiana benthamiana
Lineage: Eukaryota; Viridiplantae; Streptophyta; Magnoliopsida; Solanales; Solanaceae
Description: long non-coding RNA (NBEN_LNC011246)
Source: RNAcentral
CCGUAUAAGAUAAGAAUGGACGUUGGGACUGAGACGAUGUAUGACAGACUCAACAACUUGCUUGAAAGAUUUUGUACCCCAUGGGUACGAAUCAAAAUGACCACUCUCUAUAAGAAAAAACGUAAAUUUUUCUAUCAAACUAACAUUGUCCUUAUCAGAAGGACAAACAAAGAAUUCCAACAUAUAUAGAAUACACAACUGUACAGCAUCCAAAUCAUUUGUCCAGGAUUUGGAUGUCACUACAUUUCUCAAAAGCGAUUUCUCUACCCGAGAUUUGUUAGGGANNN